This 194-nucleotide long non-coding RNA is filed under the name Pongo abelii (Sumatran orangutan). Its description in RNAcentral is "lincRNA". The record is from RNAcentral. Lineage: Eukaryota; Metazoa; Chordata; Mammalia; Primates; Hominidae.
AGUCAUUUUUCUCUCCCCGAGUGGCACCGGGCUCAGCAGACCCUCUGGCCAUGAAGGCACCUUCUGACUCAAGCAGGCUGGAGUGCAAUGGCGCAAUCUCGGCUCACUGCAACCUCCGCCUCCCAGGUUCAAGCAACUCUCCUGCCUCAGCCUCCUGAGUAGCUGGGAUUACGGGUAUGCGCCACCACUCCUGG